This 581-nucleotide ribosomal RNA is filed under the name uncultured fungus. Its description in RNAcentral is "eukaryotic LSU rRNA". It matches the Rfam family "Eukaryotic large subunit ribosomal RNA", at positions 40 to 647 of the family's 3401-position model. The record is from RNAcentral. Lineage: Eukaryota; Fungi.
AUAUCAAUAAGCGGAGGAAAAGAAACCAACAGGGAUUGCCUCAGUAACGGCGAGUGAAGCGGCAACAGCUCAAAUUUGAAAUCUGGCCUCUGGCCCGAGUUGUAAUUUGCAGAGGAUGCUUCGGGCGCGGUGCCUUCCAAGUCCCCUGGAACGGGGCGCCGGAGAGGGUGAGAGCCCCGUACGGUUGGCGGCCAAGCCUGUGUGAAGCUCCUUCGACGAGUCGAGUAGUUUGGGAAUGCUGCUCUAAGCGGGAGGUAGACCCCUUCUAAAGCUAAAUACCGGCCAGAGACCGAUAGCGCACAAGUAGAGUGAUCGAAAGAUGAAAAGCACUUUGAAAAGAGGGUUAAACAGCACGUGAAAUUGUUGAAAGGGAAGCGCUUGCGACCAGACGUGCGCCGGGGUGCUCAGCGGGCGUUCUCGCCCGUGCACUCGCCCCGGCGCAGGCCAGCGUCGGUUUGGGUGGGGGGAUAAAGGCGUCUGGAAUGUGGCUCCUCCGGGAGUGUUAUAGCCAGGCGUGCCAUGCCUCCGCCUAGACCGAGGUACGCGUUCUGCAAGGACGCUGGCGUAAUGGUCUCCAGCGA